GAAGCAGCGCGUCAUAAACAAAGCGUUGCGUAGACCGGUGACAAAUGUCACGAGUGACAUUCGCGACGUGUGUCUGGGGAUGGUUCAGCGAAGAUGGAUGUAAACAAAAGAAAAAGAAUUUUGUUCCCGCACGAAACCGCGAUGUGUGCGACAUUGCGGUGCAGUUUGCUUUAAUGUAUUUAUAAUUUUGUGUUGUUAAAAAUGUAAAUUGAAAAGCAGAUCCCAAACUAUCGCUAUCGUGGAGGUUUGGAACCAGCUGCUAAAGGGCAGUGACUAGUAAGAGAGCAGAGCGGGCAAGUGUGACCUGGGCCUGGCGGAAGAAGACCAAUCUUUUAGCUCGACAUGCACCCACAGAGAGACAGGGUGUCAGCUCAAAAGACUUCUUUUACUCGUCGCAACAAUCUAAAAGAU
Long non-coding RNA from Culex quinquefasciatus (southern house mosquito), 411 nucleotides. RefSeq lists it as uncharacterized. The record is from RefSeq and is a predicted model, not a curated record. The transcript is spliced from 3 exons. NCBI's taxonomy places the organism in Eukaryota, Metazoa, Arthropoda, Insecta, Diptera, Culicidae.